GUAUAAAAUAUGGAAACAUAAGAUAAAAGGAUGUAAGGUUCAAUACUGAACAUAAUCUUAAACAAUAAAAUAUCUGAAUAAGGUGGUAUCACAGUACCAAAACAAAACUAAAAAUACUAAAGUCUGAAUCUGAAAACUCUGUAAUCAUCUGAAAAGCCUCUACUGUCUGGAUAAGGAGUUGAAGGAACAUGUCUCCAACUAACUCCCUAAACUGAAAAUAAACUGAAAUACUAGAAUGAUAAAUGUAAUGAUCAUGUCCUCGAAAGAUGAUGGCUCACUGCUAACUGAACUGCUACUGCUGAUCUGGAACCUGUGCCUUAGAACCUAUGGUGAACAUAAAAAGAAAGCACCAUAGCACAAAUGUGUCAGUACAACUAAAGUACUGAGUAUACGUGGGGGUAGGCUAAAUACAUGGGGUUUAUAUGCGUGAACAUGCUGAAAACUAUAAACGGGAGAAUACAUACUUGCAUACGUAACUGUUACUAAAGUCGUGGAGAUACUGACUACUGAGUUUGAAUUCUGACAACAUGAGUUUAUUGAUACUGAGAUACUAAAUGACAAAGAGAAUGAUAACAUGGAUGACUGUAUCUAACAGUCCUAAUUCUGGUGGAACUAUCUGAGUUCCAUAAUAUAUCUGAAUAUCUGAGUCUAAGAUCAGUCCUAGCUAACGGGUGAUCUCUGAAUAUGUUGAUAAAUAAGAAUGACUUAACUUGGUCUGAGAUCAGUCCUACCUAAUGGGUGAUCUAUAAAUCUAAUAAUACUUAUACUGACUGACUAUAAAUGAGAUCAGUCCUAUCUAGUGGGUGAUCUCUAAGUCUGAUGUUACUGAUACUAAAACUGUAGUUGAGAUAAGUCCUUUCUAAUGGGUGAUCUUGGAGUCUAAUGACAAUAAAACUGUGAGAUAUAUUCAUGUAACCGACAUUCCCCAUGCUAUACUGACUGGGGUCCAAUCUCUGCCUUGACUAGAAGGGUGUCAGUACCACGCCACUAGUAAAGACAACUGCUGUGGAGUCAGUCCUAAUCUAGCGGGUGACUCCUGGGACCAGUCCUAUACAUAUAAAUGCGCUAACGGGUGAUCCCUGAUUAUGUCAGUCCUAUCUAACAGGUGACAUCUCGUACCUACGUUGGCUACGUAGUUAUGGAAUUCAAGGAUGACUGCUAAGAAUCACACCCUAAUCUGACACGUAAGUUCCCAUCCUUGGGUUUUUUCGGUACUGAAUCCUACUCCUAUCUAAAUAAAACUAAACAUGAUUAUCUGAGCUGAUUUGACUAAUUGAACUGAACUAAUUCUGAGUUUACUGAGUUCCUUGGACUGAUGAAACACUACUGUUAUCUGAUAGCUAACUGAGUCAUGAGAUUACUGAUCUUAUUGAGUACUGAGUUCAUAAGAUUUCUAAGAGUACUGACUUAUAGAGAUUUCUAAAGUUAUUAGGUACUGAUGUUACUGAGAUUAACUUAGCAUAACUGAUAUUUCUGAACUACUAAAUGAGGAAUCGCACCUCUGGAUAUUUAUGGUUUGAAGCCCUUGACUAGAAGGCCACAAUUGUUCCUAUUUCAUACAAAGAAAAUUUGUGAGUUUAAAAAAGGAUGGUUGGCUUGUGGCUUUGGCAUUUGAGGAUAUAUCUCUUGCACAUAUCCUAUUUAGAUCUUGCUUCCAAUCACUAGCAUUUUCCUUUGACUUGUUGCAACCUUGGUCCAAACUCAGAACAUUAAGAGUGACACUUAAACAAACAAAGUAUCUCUGCUUUGCUAUGUUUCUCAGACAAUCCCCUUUAAACCUUAGUAUUUCCAUGGAUUCCCCAAAUUUAUGUGUUGGCAAAAACCAUCUGCAUGCCUUGUUCCAACUAACAAUCUUGUUUCUUUCAUGUGUUGGCCCUUUGUCUUGCUUUGUGCAAUUAAUGAAGCUGGUAGCCAAUUUUGAAAUCUUUUUUCACUUGUUUUGACAUGGAUUUGACUCAAAGACAAGAGAAAAAAUGACAAUGAUUUGUUUUUUACUUGGAUAACUGACUCAAGAGAAUAAAAUAAAAACACAAAGAAGAAAGAAAAGACAAUGAACAUCCCCAUUUGAAACAAAGAAACAAAAAAUUUAUCUAAAAAUAACAGUCAACUCUAAUGAUUAUGCCAUGCAUUUUGGAUUAGUUUGCUUGAUCUUUUCAUCCACACUUUCUAUCAGUUGUUGUUAAGUUAAUAGUCUUAAAACUGAGCUGCUUCCUUAGGUCAAUUGUAUUCAAGAUUUCAUUCGGCUAGUGACACCUUGAAGGAUUUUUGCUAACAAGCCUCUCUCAUUUUUUUUUCUCAUCUUAUCUUUGACUUAUGGUGUCUGUGACGAUUAAAUUAAAUAAUGAGGAUUAACUUAUGCUCUAGUUUCUUUUAACUGGAUAAUUCUAAAUUAUUUAUUUGGUUGGACCGAGCACAGAGUAGGGAAACCUACAUAUUUCACUCCCAAGAGAGGAGAAUCAAGUCACACGUAGUUUCGACAGCUUGUUCUUUCUUUUGAUCUGAUUUUUCUUUCUUUUUUUUUUUGGCUCUUUUAUCUUUGGGAUUCUUUUUUUGACUCCAUUUUUCUUGACACUUCUUUUAUUUCUUUUUGGACACAUUUUUGUCUCUUUUUUGAAACUUUUCUGAUUUUAUGUUUUUACUCAACUUUUUUACUUGGACGUUGCUGACUCUAUCCUGAUUCCAAAAGAGGAGUAUGAAAGAAAGUAGAACUAAGGCUCAAAUGGGGUAAAUAAAGGAUGACACAAUGUUUGGAUAGAAGAAUAAAAUGCCUUCAUCAUAUCAAUCCUUAAAAAUACAAGCAUGUAUCAUGCAAUAUGAAAUGAAAAAUGAAGAUCAUUUACGACACUUUAACAACACUAACUUUAACUGAGUAUGUGUGCCACUUUUUAUUCUAUACUUGUCUAGCAUACAACUCCACCUUUGUUAUUCAUCCCUCACAUCGAAUGAUCCAUGCUUUUGUGGAGCUAUUUUUCUUUUUGUUCCUCUUGAUAUAGGAUCACACAACCACUGUUUGACCUCAUUGAGACAUGUAUUUUAAUUGAUGGCCCAGUUAUUCUUGUGAUUCUCAAAAUAAUUGUCUUAAUUUUCAAAGAAGGCUUCAACUUGUCACUAAAUGUCCCAUCACUCUACCUAUUUUUUAGAUGCUUUUUCUAACUUUAGCCCUCUGAUUCAACGUUUCAUGGUUAAAUUGGAUUUUAAAAUCUAGCUGAAAAUUCCGAAGGUAUGUCUACCACUAGAAUUAACAUAAAAUGUACUGUCUAAAGAAAACAAACAAACAACACAGAUGUAAAACACAAAGGGAAAGGGACACUUCAUUUAGUUUAAAUAAAAGAUAGAAGGGUUUAACAUAACCGAAAAAAAUAAAACAAGAUAAAUCCUGAACUACAACCUUAACAUAAUUCAGAUAGUAGAAAAAAAUAAAACAAACUACCAGACCACUUCCUAGUAGGAGAGGGGUGACUUCUCAAUUACUCAGCCUGAUGUAUUAGCCUCUAGUUUGCAUAUCAACAUGACUAGAUCUUCCACCACUGUCAGAUACAUUCCCUCCAAAAAAUAAGUUCUGGAUCCUCAUGCGUAACUCAUUGCCUCCCACACAUUGUGCAGUACCACGUCCUGGUGAUCAACUCUGUGGGACGGUUGAAGGGCCAAUGUUUUGCACCACAAUCAAUUUUUCUUGAAUCAUCUUCUCUAUUUUUCUUUAGAAAAUAUUACAAUCUUCAGUAACUAUGACCUUGCAUAUUAGAAUGAUAAGCACAUCGUACAUUAAGAUCAAUAUUUUUUUACUAUUGAUCAGGCGUAUACCCAGGGAUAGGAGUAAUCAUGCCCUAUUAUCUCAAUGUAUGGAUCAAACUGGUAUAGGAAUCCCCAAUUGGCAUAAAAUUAUCCUUUGUCUUCUUCCUCAUUGCAAAAUCUAGCCUCGAAUAAACUUAGAUUUAGAGGUUCCUUGGUAAAUUUGUGGGGGUCGAGGAUGAUGUUAAGGGACAGGUGCAUGCCAUUAUGGAUAAGAAGGUGGAUGAGUAUACUGUUGUGUAUUAUUCAAAGGAUACUGAGGAAUUAUAAAGGAAUAUCUUGGAUUUUGGAGAAAAGAACCUUCUUGUAAGUAGUUAUGUGGAUCUAAUAUGUAAGCUUGGGAUUGAGGCUGACAGUAUUGGUCGGUUAGACCUAUCAAACUCUGCUUUGGCCCUAGUAUGACAAUAGGUGUGUUUUCCUUCUCAUUUUCUUAAGUUUCCCUUGAUUGAUUGCAACGUAGUCCCAAAUGUUCCACAGAAUCCUUAUGUCCAUCAGGCUCCCUAAAUUUUGAUGUCUCAAAGCUUGAAGAAAGGUUAAUAAUUAAAAACAUGCCCUAGGUUUUAUAUGAAACAUCUUCAUGUCCCACAAGUCCCAUAAAACUUUUCAUAUCAUUUUCUGGCUUUUCUAGCAUGCUAGAUUUCGUAGUAAGAAAUUUUUGCAUUCCACUUAACUUAACUGUAGGUUUAAGAGUAUAACAACGAUCAUUAGGAGUAUUGAAUGUGGAUUCACUAGUGGACUAAGGAAGCACAAUCAUUGGAUUGAUAGCUAAAGUGGAAGCCUCAGUAGAAGAUUGAGCAACAAAAGCACAGACAGUAUAUGGUGCUAUGAAUGUGUUAGGCUUAUACUGAGGAGCUAAAGAAGGGGUGGUGGAAGUAUUGGGCUGAAUUUGAUGUGGAAUGAAUUCCGAGGCAUAUCAUGGUGCAUCAACAACAACAAUAGGAAACUUUGUAAUUUUGGUGGAAAACUCAAGGUAUUUACUGGGCUAAUAGUGGGGAACGGAGGAGGAGGUAGCCCACUGGCCCAAGGUCAAUACAUUUCCAUCAUUUGUUGCCUUAGUCUUAAAUUCUCUUCCUUUAAACUCUCAUUUUCCUGACUCUUUGUUUGAUCUAUGAGGUCACUCUCUAUAUCCUUAUUGGACACAACUAACCCUUCCUUGGAUGUGGUGUGACGUGAAGAAACAACUAGAAUACCACAAACCAACCACCUUAAAUUAACUGAAUAGAAAUAACAAACGUGUUAGAGUUCAAUACUUUCUCAAAACCUUUUUUUUUUUAAAAGAUCACCAAACCUAAGAAGGAAGCCUACGUAUCUCACUCCCGAAAGAGGUGUGCGUAGUUUGUGAAGUCUUACCAAAAUGGCCAAUCAAACUCUUUUUCUCUUUUUCUCUUUGAAGCUUUGAGAAGAAAAAAAGAACAUAAUAAAUUGUCAAAAAAAUUGAAAUGACACCUACUUUAAAUGAAGAGUGAAGAAAAUCUUUUUUGAAUUUUUCAGAUUUCUAUACAAAAUAAAACCUAUUAUUACCAAAAAAAAUCUUUUUUGGUUUUAAUUUUGAAUUUCAUACAAAAAUGAAACUUGAACCUAUUAAUAGUUUUCUUUUACAGAUGCAUAUGACACCUACUUUAAAUGAAGAGUGAAGAAAAUCUUUUUUGAAUUUUUCAGAUUUCUAUACAAAAUAAAACCUAUUAUUACCAAAGAAAAAAAUCUUUUUGGGUCUUCAAUUUUGAAUUUCAUAUGAAAAUGAAAAUUAAAACUAUUAAAGGAAUUGAAACUCUUUUCAUAGUUUUCUUUUACAGAUUUAUAUGGCACCUACUCUAAAAGAAGAGUAACGAAAAUCUUUUUUGAAUUUUUUCAUAUUCAUAUACAAAAUAAAACCUAUGAUUACCAAAGAAAAUCAUUUUGAUUUUUUAAUUUUGAAUUACAUAUGAAAAUGAAAACUGAAACUAUUAAAGAAUUUUUUUUUGCAAUUUUGUUUUAAAGAUGUAUAUGACACCUACCCCGAUAAAGAGUGAAGAAAAUUCUUUUUGGAUUUUUUUCAAAUAAGAUCCCCAAACCAACAAUAGGCUGCCUACAUAUCUCACUCCCGAGAAUGGAGAAUCAGGGAUCAUAGUUUGUCUAGAUUGGACAAUUUAAGACUAAAUAACAAACUGAACCCUGACUUGAGAGACACGACGAAAGACAGACGAUAAAAAACGUCAAUAAAAUCUUGUUGUUGGGGUUUUUGAUUUGACAGUUCACAUAAAACUGACACCAACACCUAUGAAAGAAAAUCUUUUUUGAUAUUUUCAUUAUAUGAAAUGUACAAAAACUUCUACCAUUUUUUUUGAAUUUUCCUUUAUAUAAAGCUCCUAUUGAAAAAAUAUUUUGAGUUUUCUAUUGUGAAUGCUUACGAAAGAAUUUUUUUUUUCUUUGAUAUUUUGAUUUUUGACAAAAUAGGUAGAAAAGGUAAAAAGAAAUCCUUUUUUUUAUUUUUUAAAUUGUAGAAAAAAAGAAAAAAGAAAGAAAACAAAAGUCAUAAAGAACUCUAAAAACUAUAAACUUCUCUCUUUUUUUUUCUUUUCUUUUUUCGAUUUUUCCCUGCCUACACAUCUUUUUUAAUUCUAGCACAUGUUUUUUUACCAAAUCAAUCCGUCAAAUGAUCUUAUUACCUUACAAAAUGCAAAAAUUACCAUGUAAGGAUGCUUUACGGGUGAGUCUCUCAUAAAGGACGAAAUGGGUCCUGCUAGGUCGAAAUAUGAUGCAAGUAAGCAUGACCUAAAGGCUGACCUACGCUGGGGUCCACUAAAAGGCCGUUUGGGGGAUCAUAUGGUCGAUAAUGGCUGCUUUGAUUUCUUCCAACUCCAUACAAUCAAUGGCUCCCCCCCAAAAUAAAGGUGACUUAACUAGACUUCGUGUACACGACGUGUACUCCGGGACUUGUUGCAAAAAAAAUUGACUCGGGUUAUGCAAAUGAUGCUAGAUAUAAAGAGGUAACACAUAAAAGAAUACUGUAAAUAUAUAGCACGUAGGCACUCAACAAUGAUAAAACAGUAACACAAACACUAACACAAACAAUGUUUAUACACCCACAAUUUCAAAAUAAGAUGAUACAACUCUAAAAAAUAAGCUUGAAUUCUGGAAAAUCCCUAGCAGAGUCGCUAGUUACACCCCUUUUUAGCCAAAAAAGAAUCAUUUUAAGGUUCGAAAGAGUUUUAUUAUUAAAGUGACAAAAUGAAGAUUUUUUUUUGAAAAAAGAUUAUUUUUUCAAAACUCAGAGUCGCCACUUGGCAUAAUUCGGUAUGCCAAGUCACCUUUGGAAAAUCCUUUUCAAAAUGAUUUGACUCUUUAAAAUUGAUUUGCAAAUGGAGAUUUCCGCUAAAGAAUUCUGUUGACCAAGGGGAAGGUGUUAGGCACCUCUCGAUCCCGUGGUUCGACCAUGGUCACUUGGUAGUGUAUCGGCUAGUAUGAAAUUACGAAUAUAUAAACCCACAAAAUACAUAAAUAAGCAAACACACAUCAAACAACAAUCCAAAACCAAAAUAAUAAUGUCUAGUCCAAUUAUACAUUCCAAAAUAGAAAAAUAAAAAAUACAAAUCCUAUUCUAAAUUAGUCCUAGACUAAACUCCACCCGACGCCUUGAGCCUUCGUUACGAAUGUCUUCCAGGUACAAAAUACUUUAGGGAAUUCACCGGCACACAGAGACCUCGAGGCAUUCCCCAGCCAAAUGAUACAUUUUAUGAAUCGUGAUAAACUAGAAACAUUCAACACACAUUCCAUAUCCAGACAUUCAACAAAACACUUAUUCUUAAGUUUUACCUACUCGAACCUAUAUUUGCCUAUCCAUUUCAACAUGUCAUAAUUCUAUCACGUUCUAACAACAUUCAUGCUUACUCUAAAUUAAACGAAACAACAAUAAAUCAAAAUCGAUCUAUAUUGACCUCUUUUAUCAAUUUCUCAAUUCCACCCCUUCUAACUUCAUUUUUUAUCAAUCACACUAUCAAAGCUACUGAAAUUUGUUCCACAUAUCAAUGAAAUCAUGCCGUUAUGCAAAUAAUCAUAACAUCAACAAAACCCAACAAUCAUACUCACCCCACACAUAAACACAACAUCGAUAUACCAAAUUAAAAUGAAAUAAGGAGCAAGAGUUGUAGAGAUGGACCUUUCGAUAAUCAAAUUUCAUUGAUAAUAAUAAUUAAAGAAGCCCAAACUUGAAAUCUCGAACAGAAUACCUUGGCAACGAACCCAAAAUCCAAUUCGGUAUUUAUUAACGCAUUUUCGAACAGAUACGAAACCCUCAAAAAACCUUAAUAAUAAUAAAAACCUUAAUCCAAACACCCAAAUGACGUUUCCAAACCAGAUUUUGCUGGAAAGAACCAAAAAUAUAAGGGGAUUUUGGAUUUCAUGGGUCGUUCUCCGAUGGGCCAGUUGUCGGGACUACUCGAAUAUCACCGGAAUCAGCUUAAACAGGCUGAUUCCAGCUAACUUAGUGGCUAGUUUCAAAGAUUAAGAGGGAGGGACUAUUUUUUUGUGGUUUUUCAGUGGGUUUACGCCAUUGGACAGGUAUUUUUUGGUAAAUAUUUUUAUUUCCUAUUUUUCGAUCUCCUUCUGGCCAAACUCCGAUUAACCCCAACCCGUCAUCUUUUUUCUACUCACUAGUUUUACCCUCCAUGAUUGUGUGAGUGUGUGUGAAUUAUGUGUGUUUUUUGUAUGAAUGAGUAUGUGAUUCUGUGUGUCUAUGUGAUGGUCUAUAUUAUGAAAAAUGAAAAAAAUGGUCAGAUCCCUUCUGUGAAUGGUGUUUAUCAAAGUAGAAUGUGAGAGUGUGUGAAAA
Molecule: long non-coding RNA, 8593 nt
Filed under: Capsicum annuum
Lineage: Eukaryota; Viridiplantae; Streptophyta; Magnoliopsida; Solanales; Solanaceae
Description: long non-coding RNA (CANN_LNC020707)
Source: RNAcentral